This is a long non-coding RNA of Cyprinus carpio (common carp), 354 nucleotides long. NCBI's taxonomy places the organism in Eukaryota, Metazoa, Chordata, Actinopteri, Cypriniformes, Cyprinidae. The record is from Ensembl.
AUGUAUUCAAGGACACUUCUGUCCCAUAGGGUCCUCGUCCCCAUGAGCCUUGUCCAGCAGGCCACUACAGUAACAGCAGCAAGAACACUAAGCUGUCUGACUGUCUGCAUUGUCCUCCAGGAUUUGCUUGUUCCAGUAGGGGGCUCUCCUCCCCUUCUCAUGUGUGCCAGAUGGGCUGCUACUGCCCACAGGGUCAAAAUUCCAGCCAGCCUGCCCACUUCAUCUGCUCACCUGGGUAUAUGUGUCCACCUGCCAGCCCUGUCCAGAUUCCCUGUCCGUUUGGGACAUAGCAGAACCUCCAGGGGCAGGCUCAGAGUCCGGAGUGAGCUUUCCCUGCCCUGUGGGCACUUUUAA